UAUAAGGGAUUUUGAGUUUAUGCUUUCAACGUUUGACCACUCGUCUUAUUUAAAAUAUUUUGAAAUUAUUAUUUAUUUAGUUUAUGACUUACUUUAUUAUCUACAGUACUUUAAUCACAACUUUUCGUUUUUUAUAUUUACAAAAAAAUUUAAAUAAGACGAGUGAUCAAACGUUGCAAGCAAAAACUCAAAAUCCCUUAUA
Molecule: microRNA precursor, 202 nt
Filed under: Oryza sativa Indica Group (long-grained rice)
Lineage: Eukaryota; Viridiplantae; Streptophyta; Magnoliopsida; Poales; Poaceae
Description: MIR812 microRNA precursor family
Rfam family: MIR812 microRNA precursor family
Source: Rfam by way of RNAcentral